CAAUUACACACUACGUCGUACGAUUGAGACAAGGAAACUUGGAAUGACUUUUCAUAGGUUUCCCAGAGACUAUGGGUUGAGGAGGAAUUGGAAGUUUGUCGGCUUAGACCUGGUGUCAUUCCAUCAGUGUUAAACUUCCCAGCUCAUCUUGGAAGAGUACGUGCCAGAAAGACCACGAUCAAGCAGCCUUGAGAUCUUAGGCAGCGUCUCCCUCAGGUCCCUCUCUAUCUCCCUACACAUCCACCAACCACUGGAACACAUCUCCAAAGUUCUGCCGGGCCAGCUCAGCUUCCCCUCAGAAGAAGUGCUGCCACCUGCCAGAUGAAGGAGCCUUUUGAGAGGCAGCUGGCAUCGUGAUUGGACUGUACUUUGGUCUGUUCCAAUCCAGCUUCAGCUCCAGAGACGGCAGGCAGGACGAGUCAACGGAGGCCGGGUGGACGAAGACAUGAAGCUGAGUACAAUCCAGAAAACAACAGAGGAGGAGUGCAGGGCCAGAACAAACAGAUUAGCAUCGUAUGUCUCUGAGAAAACAUCAUAGUAUAGCCUUUGGUAAGAAAAAACACCAUCAUAUACAUCGUAUAUUGUACAAAUAACAAGUCAAAGCAAAGAGACAUACAUUGUAGAAUUGGAGUAAUUGUGGGCUGACUGAUUUACUGAUUAUCAGUAUUUUCUACUGAUUUACGGUAAUAAAUAAAUUUAAAAAUGGCGCUACUUUGGCUCUGAACCUUUAUCUACCUGUGGUCGCUCUGUCUUCUGGAGUGAUUUGAUUGGUUAUACGUCAUGAAUAAAACUC
This is a long non-coding RNA of Amphiprion ocellaris (clown anemonefish), 793 nucleotides long. The record is from Ensembl. Lineage: Eukaryota; Metazoa; Chordata; Actinopteri; Pomacentridae.